AAUUAAAACAAGUUUAGUUAUUCCUAUCAAUUUUCCUUAUUAAUUAUAGUUUUAAUUAUAAUAAUAAUAAAUAUACAGUGGACUUAAUACCAGAGAGAAGACUUCUCUCUGCUUAAUACUAUGAAGGGAUUUUUAUUUUUAGAUCUUUUAAUAUGGUAGGCCUUCUGCUCUUUUCAAUUACCUUAUGGCACCCUGCUGAAAAAUCUCUCAGCUGAUUCUUGAAGUGUUUAUAUUUUCGUAAAGCUUGUUAACUUAUCAUUCUAAAUAUUUUUGUAGUGCAAAUUGAAAUAUUAAACAAUUCAAUUCAUCGCAACGAUGGGUGGUGGAGAUUUGAAUUUAAAAAAAUCAUGGCAUCCAUCAACAAUGAAAAAUAUGCAAAAGGUAUGGAAAGCUCAACAACAAGACAAUCAAGAAAAGAAAAGAAUUGCUGAGUUAAAGAGAGAUAUAGAAAUGGAACGAGAUCAAGAAGAUAUGAAAAAAUAUGCAAUGGAACAAGGAGUUAUUGAAAAGAAGGAAGAUAGAAAGUUAGAUUGGAUGUAUAAAAGACCUAAUCAAAUAAAUAGAGAAGACUAUUUGACGGGAAAAAAGAUCGAUAAAGAUUUUGAACAAUUUUCCCAAGCUGAGAAAGAUGCUGAACGUAAUAGAGCUGCAACUAAUCAUGUAGAAUAUGAAUGUAUUCCACCUUCAUUAAGGUCAUUUACUGGUAAUGAACAAGUAGAUUUAGCUCGAAAAUUACAAGAAGAUCCUUUGUAUGCAAUUAAAAAAAAGGAAAUAGAAUCUCGAAGUAAACUUUUAAAGAAUCCAGUAAAAUUAAAAAAACUUCAAGCACUAGUAAGUGAAAAACAAUCCAGCAGUGGACCUUUAUUUAAGCAUAAAUCUAAGAGUCAUAAGGAUUCAUCAAGUAGCACGAAAAAAGAUGAUCGACACUCUUUUAAAAACAAAAUUCUAUCUGAUAAGGAAAAAUUAAAAAAGCUUAAAGAGAUGAUGGAAAAUGCCUCUUGGCGUGAAAAGGAACGUAAGAAAAGUGUGAAACGAUAUCAAGAACAAGCAAAAAAAGAUCAGAGAGAACAAAAUAACAAAAAAUAUAGCAGUGAUUUCAUAAGAAAACAACUAGUGAAAGCCACUGAAGUUAGUACUGUCGCAUCUAGGAUAAAAUCUAACAUGAAUAAUAUCCAACGAUCUGAAAAAGCAAUGGACACAAACUUUGCCAAAAGAUAACAUUACAAUGAUAAAUUUCUAUCAUUCGUUGCUGAAUUUGAAAAAUACCCACUGCCACUUUUGAAGUAAUUAAAUUAGUAGCUUGGUUGAAAAUAAUGGAAAAAGAUAGAUGAAAUAAGUUAAAAUUUAUUUUAUAUUAAACAAAAGUACAAUAAAAUUCGAAUAUUUAUACUAUUGUAAACAUAACAUUGAGUAUUUCAAUAAUUGGUACUUUCGAUUAUUACUAUUAAAAAUAGUAUUAUUAACUACUGUAUUAAUAGACUAAAUAAAAAAUUUUUGAGAUGACGUAACAUUGCAUUAUAAAAGCACGCCAUAUUUGAAUUAUCGAGAAGAAUCGCUGCUUAAACAAUCCUACUGGAAGGACGAAGUUCAAUAGGGAAAUUUCCUAUUGAAGAUAUUUUUCUAUAGAAAUUGCUUGUAUCUUAUUCAGUUAUCCUAUGGGGAAACGCUAAUUACUAUUCCCAUUGAGAAUUUCCUAUUAAAUUAAGGGUAAACCUAUUGAACGUUUCAGGAAGAUCUUAUUACCAUCUUAUUACCACAAAAAAAAAAUCAGUUUACAUAAGAGAAAUUUUAUAAUUCGCUCUCGAGGUUUUUAUUUAUACAGAUUUGUUGUUUAAAUAUACACUUCCAAUGGAAUUUAUUAGAAACUUUGCUCAAAAAAAUCCUGUUUAUGUUGAGAUUUGAUCCUGGUAUCCUCGGGUCCACAAGUCCAGUACGCUAAUGACUAAGCUAUUCUAAUUAGAAUGUCAUGUCUUCAUGUUUUAAUGACUUUUGCCUAAUCAGUUUGAGUCGAACAUUGAUAAUAAUUCAAACAUUAAUCACGUUUGCUUCUUAUCAAGCAGAAAAAAAAUAAUUAUAAUUUGUAAAAUUUGACAAGUAAAAUGCAACUCAGAAAUUAUAUUUUUUUCCAAUAUUUCGUGAUAAGAUUUUAUAUUAUUCAAAAGAAGAACAUUAGCACAAUUUCAAUAGCAAGUCGAUGGAUUCAAAAGGAAAAUACAACGAAAAGGAAUAUACAGCAUAGAAAAUAUUUUCUUAUUGCCCUCGAUGCUUUCAUAAGAAUUUGAGCAUUUAAAUAGGCUCAAUUUGUACAUGUUUCUAUAGGAAGUAAAUAAAUUAAAAAACAAAAUACGACUUAGCACUUUGUAGUGGCACUAUUCUUCAACAGGAUUUAAUAUUUUCUUACACGGAAGAUUUUAUGAGGAAUGAAUAGAUUGAAAAGGAAAAUGUGACUUAGAAAAUAUUCUUUCAUCACGAUAUUCCCUAUUAGGAUUAUGGAAAUAAUUUUCUGGCAAAGCUCUGCUAAAGCUCUGGUAAAACUCGAGCAGAACUUUGACAAAAUUGUGGAAAAUACCUGAAAUCUUCUUAAGUAUUUUCGACAAUUUCUCGUAACUCUGUCAUAAUUCUGAAAACAAUUUGACAAUUUGAACAUCUUUAGAAUUUGGCUACAAUUAUUCUGGAAAAAGUCUCAAAAAUAUCUGAUUUUUUCUCAACUUUUUUCUGGCUUUUUAUUGAUUUUUUUAUGACAAAAAUUAGAAAAAUUCUAAAAUUGUCCUGGCAACAUUCUGAAAUUUUUCUGGUAAAAUUUUGGAAUUUCAAAAUCAAUAUAAUCGACUUUUAUCUAGAAAAAUUUUGAAAUAUUUUAGGAGACGUCAGACUUUUUCUUGACUUUUUUCAAUCGCUUAAGAAGGAAAUCAAUGUUAUAGAUGUCCAAUGUGCGGGACAAUUGUAACGAGAGUUGAUAAGCUAACACUUGAGUAUGAGUUGCAAUUUUAUUUUGUAUCAUUUUAUAUCCAAUUCAAAAAAUAUUUCAUUUUUUCAAGGAAAAAUGUAACUAUGUAUUGCUUGAUAUGCAAUUAAAAAAUUUUCUCAUUUUCUUUUUAAGGAAAAAUAUGAUAAUGUGUUGCUUAAUAUGCAAUUUAAAAUAUACUUU
RNA transcript from Chelonus insularis, 3148 nucleotides. It is a transcript of the gene named pre-mRNA-splicing factor CWC25 homolog, with no coding region annotated. The transcript has 8 exons. Lineage: Eukaryota; Metazoa; Arthropoda; Insecta; Hymenoptera; Braconidae. The record is from RefSeq and is a predicted model, not a curated record.